This 273-nucleotide ribosomal RNA is filed under the name uncultured bacterium. Its description in RNAcentral is "partial 16S ribosomal RNA". It matches the Rfam family "Bacterial small subunit ribosomal RNA", at positions 523 to 796 of the family's 1533-position model. The record is from RNAcentral.
AGACGGAGGGUGCAAGCGUUAUUCGGAAUCACUGGGCGUAAAGGACGCGUAGGCGGGUUGGCAAGUCAGAUGUGAAAUCCUACAGCUUAACUGUAGAACUGCAUUUGAAACUGCUAACCUAGAGUAUGGGGUGGGAGAUGGAAUUAGUGGUGUAGGGGUAAAAUCCGUAGAUAUCACUAGGAAUACCGAAAGCGAAGGCGAUCUCCUGGAACAUAACUGACGCUAAGGCGUGAAAGCGUGGGGAGCAAACAGGAGUAGAAACCCUAGUAGUCC